CCUACGGGAGGCAGCAGUGGGGAAUAUUGGGCAAUGGGCGCAAGCCUGACCCAGCAACGCCGCGUGAAGGAAGAAGGCUUUCGGGUUGUAAACUUCUUUUAAGAGGGAAGAGCAGAAGACGGUACCUCUUGAAUAAGCCACGGCUAACUACGUUCCAGCAGCCGCGGUAAUACGUAGGUGGCAAGCGUUGUCCGGAUUUACUGGGUGUAAAGGGCGUGCAGCCGGGAAGACAAGUCAGAUGUGAAAUCCCGCGGCUCAACCGCGGAACUGCAUUUGAAACUGCAUCCCUUGAGUGCGCGAGAAGUAUGCGGAAUGCGGGGUGUAGCGGUGAAAUGCAUAGAUAUCACGCAGAACUCCGAUUGCGAAGGCAGCAUACCGGCGCGCAACUGACGCUCAUGCACGAAAGCGUGGGUAUCGAACAGGAUUAGAUACCCGGGUAGUC
Molecule: ribosomal RNA, 442 nt
Filed under: uncultured bacterium
Lineage: Bacteria
Description: partial 16S ribosomal RNA
Rfam family: Bacterial small subunit ribosomal RNA
Source: RNAcentral